Molecule: unclassified non-coding RNA, 272 nt
Filed under: Hevea brasiliensis (rubber tree)
Lineage: Eukaryota; Viridiplantae; Streptophyta; Magnoliopsida; Malpighiales; Euphorbiaceae
Source: RNAcentral
AAAGACGAGUUUGGAAGAGAUUUGUAGGUCAAAACGUGAAGAAUACAAGGCUAGAAGCAGUAUACGGACCGUGUAACCUGCCUCGUGUAACUUUCUGGACCCGUGAAACUCUCUGGAUUGAAGAAAACAUGAAAAAUGAAGUGGCAGAAAGUUACAUGGGGAGUGUAUAACUACACGGCCCAUGUAAAGUCGCCUGACAGCAAUUCUGAUGUGACUUUUCUUGCUUUCAACUCGACCCGGAUGGACUUCUAAUGCUUCUAGGACUCUGAAAU